This 497-nucleotide ribosomal RNA is filed under the name uncultured bacterium. RNAcentral describes it as "partial 16S ribosomal RNA". It matches the Rfam family "Bacterial small subunit ribosomal RNA", at positions 28 to 507 of the family's 1533-position model. The record is from RNAcentral.
GAUGAACGCUGGCGGCGUGCCUAAUACAUGCAAGUCGAGCGAGCAGACGAGGAGCUUGCUCCUCUGACGUUAGCGGCGGACGGGUGAGUAACACGUGGAUAACCUACCUAUAAGACUGGGAUAACUUCGGGAAACCGGAGCUAAUACCGGAUAAUAUAUUGAACCGCAUGGUUCAAUAGUGAAAGACGGUUUUGCUGUCACUUAUAGAUGGAUCCGCGCCGCAUUAGCUAGUUGGUAAGGUAACGGCUUACCAAGGCAACGAUGCGUAGCCGACCUGAGAGGGUGAUCGGCCACACUGGAACUGAGACACGGUCCAGACUCCUAUGGGAGGCAGCAGUAGGGAGUCUUCCGCAAUGGGCGAAAGCCUGACGGAGCAACGCCGCGUGAGUGAUGAAGGUCUUCGGAUCGUAAAACUCUGUUAUUAGGGAAGAACAAAUGUGUAAGUAACUAUGCACGUCUUGACGGUACCUAAUCAGAAAGCCACGGCUAACUACGUG